Callithrix jacchus (white-tufted-ear marmoset) is the source of this 3511-nucleotide non-coding RNA. NCBI's taxonomy places the organism in Eukaryota, Metazoa, Chordata, Mammalia, Primates, Cebidae. The record is from RefSeq and is a predicted model, not a curated record.
GGCGGUGGCGGGUUCCGGGCGCGCGCGUUCCCCCUCCGGUCCCUCCUGUCCCGUCGCGGCUGGGUCGAGGCCGCGGGCAUCUCGCGAGCUGUGGCGGAGGCAGGCGUCGUGGUCCCCGGGCGCUACCUCAGGGCUGCCCGGGUCAGAACGGCGCGUGGGACCGCUCCGAACGCGCGUUGCCGGGCCUCGCCCUCUCCUCCCAGAAGGGGCUCCCUGGGGUUGGGGGCCGCGGUCUGAGCUCCCGGCUGAUGUUAUUUAUCUGCUGAGAUGCGGCCUCGCUCUGUCGCCCGAGCCUGGGUGCGAUGGCGCCACCUCCGCUCGCUGCAGCCUCCGCCGCCCGGGUUCAAGCGAUUCUCCUGCCUCAGCCUCCGGAGUGGCUGGGACUACAAGCGCGCGCCAGUGUUUGUCUUUCCUCGGUGAUUUUAAAAGGACGGGGUUCGGCCUGGCGCGGCGGCUCACGCUUGUGACCCCAGCACUGUGGGAGGCUGAGGCGGGCGGAUCACGAGGUCGGGAGUUCGAGACCAGCCUGACCAACAUGGUGAAACCCCGUCUCCACUAAAAAUACAAACAAACAAAAAAUUGUUUGGGCGCCUGUAAUCCCAGCUACUCGGGAGGCUGAAGCAGGAGAAUCGCUUGAACCCAGGAGGUGGAGGUUGCAGCGAGCGAGAUUGCACCGUUACACUCCGGCCUCGGGGACAGAGCGAUUUACUCUGCCGGGUAAAUAUCAGCAGAGUCUUGCGCAGGUUCUGUUGUGAGUGUGUUAUUUUCCAGGCCCAUCUUCCUUUCUGCUGGUGAUUAUUAGGGCAGCAGCUACGUUCUUGGAGUGCUCAGGAACGGGCACUUCAGGAGCCUGAGGCUGGUUUUCCUGGGAGGAUGGAGCUGGAUCUGGGGGACGUUUAUAAGAAGAGCACGAGGGGAAAACCCAAACUUCUCGUGCCCUGCUUGCCACCCUGCUAGGUAUUAUACAGAAAAGGAGAGUCCAGGCCUCUGCUGCUGGGACAGGCUUGAUGUGGGGUCAGAGUUCCAUCUCCUUCCAGGGCUCAGCAGGCUGAAUGGUGUUUCCAGCCAGGGGACUCGUGAGGGGAAGGGGCAGGAGGAAGAGUGAGGAGGGCGUCUAACGUCGGGAUUAUGCCACCUUCGGCCCGAGGACGUGUGUGAGCAAAUUUCUGUCCCUGCAGCCAUUUCUGGUUUCCUGGGAGGUUGAGCUCAGUCGGGGUCACACACCUGCAGACAGGACAUGGGUCAGGGUGACGGCUUCUGCAGUCCUUGGCCAUGGCUCUGUGAAGGUGGCCAUGGGGGGACGGUGCAGUCUCUGAGAAAUGGCCAGUCCUCCAGUCAGCAGGGGUCCCAUCCAUGCCUUGGCUCUGGUAGCAUCCUAGCGGCAGGUGGGCAGCAGGAGCAGUCAGGAAUGACCAGAUGUUGGAGGACAGCCUCUAGCCAGAGAGGCGUAGUCUAAACCAACCAGCAGAACAGCCGCAGGCAGCCAGGCUGUGCAGAGGGAAGAGACUCCAAACUACCCCGUUAACACCCUUAAGGGUAACAAGGGACGCGACAGCUCCCAUGAGUCCAGGACCAGGCGCCCCGAGAAAGAGCACUCCAGUAACACAAAGGGGUGCUGGGAGGGUCAGAAUACAAGAGCUUGGGUAAAAACCCUAAGGAAAAGCUAAAGGCCAUCUCCCAGAAAAAGAUCAGAAAGACCAAGAGAUGAAAAACGUGAGGAAAGAUUUAAAAAGUCCGUAGGCUGGGUCAGGCAUCCAGUGUGCGAAAUGUGGUGGUUUCAGGCAGGAGAGCAGAGGAAACCCAGGGAAGCAGCUGUGGGUAAAUUCAUGACGUUAACGGAACGAGGGGCCACAGAGCACCCAGCACAGGGAAUGAAAGCGGCCACACCGACCAAGCAGACCACGUGGACACAGUUCAGAGCUCCGGGGCAGGGAUGGGCCAGAGCCCCGCCUGGCAUCUCACCGGAACACCCAAGAGACAUCAGACCCCAAUGUGGCCCCACAGAAGCUCAGAUGUGCCUCUCUGCAUCGCCGUGAGACCCAAUGAACAAAGACACCUCCCUGUGCUGAGAACCAAACUUCCGCACAACACCAGACCAACGGCUUCCUGAGGAACGAGUGAACUGCAAGGCUGGAUCCUCGAGGAUGCUUACGCUGGGGGUUUGCCGCUAGGCUGGAUCCUCGAGGAUGCUUACGCUGGGGGUUUGCCACUAGGCUGGAUCCUCGAGGAUGCUCACGCUGGGGGUUUGCCACUAGGCUGGAUCCUCGAGGAUGCUCACACUGGGGGUUUGCGGCUAGGCUGGAUCCUCGAGGAUGCUUACGCUGGGGGUUUGCCGCUAGGCUGGAUCCUCGAGGAUGCUUACGCUGGGGGUUUGCCGCUAGGCUGGAUCCUCGAGGAUGCUUACGCUGGGGGUUUGCGGCAGACGCAAGUCAGGAAACAACCCGGAUACCUGCUGCGGGCUUAGUGCCUUAGGAGAGGGCCGGAUCUUGAGAGGUUCUGCGGCCGUUAACGGUGACGCCAAACAGCAACGUGGGAACUGUGCGCGGCAGUCUAAUGAUGAGUGAGAACCUGAAAUUCACACAUCAGAACACGACAUUAUCUGCUCACUGGGAUCCCCAACUCUACGGAAAGAAGGUCUGCAGGACGGUGUGGAGGGGGUGCAGCUGCCUCCGAAUAGAGCGCCUGCCUGGCUUCCCGCAGCCUGUGGACUGCCCACGGCAGCCUGUGCGCUCCAGGGCCUGGGGCCUCCGGGCCUUGGCUUGGCUGGAAGCUGGCCCCCACAUGAAAGGGCUCUGAGCUAGGGAGGUCUGUGUCCCAGGAAAGCAGGGACUCGCUGCUCUGGGGGUGCUCUGAGGCCCCUCUUGCCUGUUCUGUGAGCUGGGGAUCUGACCCUCAGGUGAGAGGUGCCCUGGGGAGGGGUCUUGGGUGGGUCACCCCCAAAUGGGUGAGAUGCUGUGUGUCCUGGCCCUGACUGCUCAGCCCGCUCCUGCUUCCAGCGCAGCACUGCCUGUGCGCCUCCUCCCGGAUGCCCUCCCCUGCAAGCAUGAGGGGGUAGUAAGCACUCCCACCUCGGGGUGCGGGGAGGAGUCGGGAGCCAGGCACUGAGCUGUUGGUGGACAGUAACUGCUACUCUUUCCCGCUCUUCAUUCUAGCAUCUCCAUCGCCAGCUCCUCAAGCAAAGGCCUCCGAGCAGAUGCUCAGGGAAUGCAUGUUUCUCUGAUCAGCAGACAGCGUCCGCCCGCUACAGCCCCUGAAGAGGCGCGGGUUCCAGGAGCCGGCCACCCCUCCAUGCUGACAAUGUGGGCAUUGCUCAGCCUGCCUGAGGUGCCCCAUCCACCCCAGCUUUUCCCUGAGGAGAUCCUCCCAGGUGGAUACCCCUGGAAAGUGGCAGAGGCCGGGGGGAAUCACGACCCCCCUUCUGGUUCCAUUCAUACCUCCGGCUUAAUGAGCUGGAACUGCAGGUGGCAUUGGGGUCACACCUUCUCACUUGAUUAAAGCAAAGCACAAUCUG